UAAUAAUAAUAAUAAUAAAAGAAGACGUUGUGUUCCUGUUUAAUGUUUCUGCUUUGAUUAUUUCAGUAUAGAGUUACAUAAUGUCCAUUUGUAUUUCCCACUUAUUAAUAUCGAUCAAUUGAAAUAUCUUCUUAUGGUCUUGGAAGUCGGAAUCUUUGAGGUGAAAGCCAAAUUGGAACAUUUGCCCAUUUUAAGACAUCUUUGAAACCUGGAAAAUAUGCUGUCAACUAGCAUAUCUACUUUGUAACAUCACUAAUAGAAACGAGGAAUAUAAAAUGAGAAAGUGGUAUUUUAAGUACGAAUUAUCUUUAUGCUCGGGCUCCCAUGGAAGGCGUGAGUGAGAAUUAAUCAAACAAAACGAUUUUAUUCUAGAAACCUUUGUUUGUAGUUACUGCUAAUUUCAUUUCUGCUUCAGCUAAAUUAGCACAGAGGUGUGCUUUACCACGCAUAAUACAUCACCAAAGCCAAAAAAAUAAAAAACCCUAGUUCCAAAUGCCAACCUGCAUGAAUCCAUCUUCAGUAGCACAUCCCCUGAACAUCCCAUUGGUGUUAUACCUACAAGCCACAUCCCCAUUUCUAGACACCGCUAUUAACCCCGCUUUCCCUUCAUCAAGCCUCUCAUUUAUCACAAAAUCCACAGCCUGUUGCAACCCCAACCCUUUGUACUCCAUCACAGCCGCUACGUCUCGGGCUAGGGUCCCGCGGAUGAUGGCUUCACCUUCCCCUGUGCAUGAAAUUCCGCAGAGGUCACACGCGUAGGUCCCAGCGCCAAUCAGGGGCGAGUCACCUAUACGACCGGUCAUUUUGUUCAUUAGCCCACCUGUUGACGUGGCGGCAGCACAUCGACCCUCGCUGUCCACGGCCACACAACCAACGGUUUCCGGUGCAUACACGCUGAUUGGAAGACCGUUCAUUUGCAAGGGAUUGUCCAUGGCCGCAGCAGCACCGGCGCUGCAUGUCUCCAAGGGGAUCCUGUAAUCAAACAGAAUGGAAUUGGCUUCCUUUGCCAAUUUCAACAUCCCCACGUUAUCCUCGGUGAUGAAGUAGUCAUUUUGCAUCAGCUCCACACCCUGUUCAAAUCCAAUGUCUCUCAGUUCCAUUAAUUUAUCAAUUAGAGCAUAUUAUUUUAACGUUUAUUACUAUGAAGUAUAUGACCUAAUUGAAGGCCUUUAAAGUUAAUUCACCAGAUCAUUCUCUUUCAAAAUGGCGAAAUGUCCUAAAGAAUGAAAUCUCUCCUUCUUUCAUGCAACAAAAACUGUUUUCUUGUUUUUUGACUCGUGAGAUAACUUAAACCAGAGUGUUAAAAAACUGAAGAGGACGUGUAAACCUGUUGUCUGGCAAAUUCCUCUGCGCCGGAGAAGGCCAGAUACGAAUGGGGAGAUUUCUCCAUCACAAGUCUGGCAAGGGAGACUGGGUUUUUAACAGUGGUUAAGCCCGAUACGGCGCCGCAUCUUCUCUUGGGUCCAUCCAUAAUGCUAGCUUCCAUCUCCACCGUUCCUUUCUCGGUUAGAGCAGAUCCUCGGCCAGAAUUAAACAGAGGAUCGCUUUCUAGUUCUCUCACCUGAAACAACAAACAACAGAAGAUUAAAACAAAAAAAAAUUAAAGAUAAGGGAACCGGUAAAGCAUCUAAUGAUAACUUUCCCUUUCUAACCAGAAACCAAAGUGUUUCGCGAGUAUAACGAGAGCCCCUUUCAAAACCAAUGAAAGUAAGAACAAAAGGCCGAUUGAUACAGAAGAUAUUUCAGGAUAACCAAGGACAUCAAUUGGACAUCAAAAGAAAGCGUAUAAAGGACGCCGAUCAUUGAUUUUUCUUUCAUUCCUGUUAGUGUACCGUAAAAUUAUAAGAAAACAAACGGAAAACCUGGUAUAGUGGUGAAGUUGAAAGGAUUAUCUUUUUCUAUACACGCAAGAAGUUGGUAAUCAAAAUGGUUCAAGAUACAGAUUUCUUAAAAAAGAAAUUGAAGAAAAAGAGUGAAAAUAGGAGAGAAACGCACAACGAGUUCAACGACAUCAAUGGCAGGGAGAUUGGAGCGAAGAGCGGAGAUGCCCAGAUUGAGGCAGCGAGUUAGGAGUUGCUUGGCCUCUUCUUGACGUUGUUGUGGGAGGUUUGGGUCCACACCAGCGCCACCAUGCACCGCUAUUGCCCACCUCCCCAUUUCUCUCUGGCUUUUUCCUUCCCUUGUGCGUGUGUGUGUUGUGAAUGUGUGUGCG
Molecule: unclassified non-coding RNA, 2212 nt
Filed under: Hevea brasiliensis (rubber tree)
Lineage: Eukaryota; Viridiplantae; Streptophyta; Magnoliopsida; Malpighiales; Euphorbiaceae
Source: RNAcentral